GCCGAUAGAGGUGCCUCUGUCGUCACCAUGUCUGGAGUGGCUGGGGAUUCCCGAAGUUUGGGGGAUGUGAAACCCAGAAUUCCUGAAGAUUCCAAUGACAAGUCAAAGAUUUGGAAGCUCACUGAAAUUAACGAACCAUCUCAAUGUAGAUCCUUGAGGCUGCCUGAGAAUGUAAGAGUGAACAAGAUAUCUAGGUUGAUCUACACAAAUUCUGGAAGUGCAAUCUUGGC
Molecule: unclassified non-coding RNA, 230 nt
Filed under: Hevea brasiliensis (rubber tree)
Lineage: Eukaryota; Viridiplantae; Streptophyta; Magnoliopsida; Malpighiales; Euphorbiaceae
Source: RNAcentral